This 406-nucleotide ribosomal RNA is filed under the name uncultured bacterium. RNAcentral's name for it is "partial 16S ribosomal RNA". It matches the Rfam family "Bacterial small subunit ribosomal RNA", at positions 28 to 526 of the family's 1533-position model. The record is from RNAcentral.
GAUGAACGCUGGCGGCGUGCCUAAUACAUGCAAGUCGAGCGAGCGGCGGACGGGUGAGUAAUGUCUGGGAAACUGCCCGAUGGAGGGGGAUAACUACUGGAAACGGUAGCUAAUACCGCAUACCAUCGGAUGUGCCCAGAUGGGAUUAGCUAGUAGGUGGGGUAACGGCUCACCUAGGCGACGAUCCCUAGCUGGUCUGAGAGGAUGACCAGCCACACUGGAACUGAGACACGGUCCAGACUCCUACGGGAGGCAGCAGUGGGGAAUAUUGCACAAUGGGCGCAAGCCUGAUGCAGCCAUGCCGCGUGUAUGAAGAAGGCCUUCGGGUUGUAAAGUACUUUCAGCGAGGAGGCGUUACUCGCAGAAGAAGCACCGGCUAACUCCGUGCCAGCAGCCGCGGUAAUUC